Molecule: long non-coding RNA, 848 nt
Organism: Hyla sarda
Lineage: Eukaryota; Metazoa; Chordata; Amphibia; Anura; Hylidae
Exons: 4
Source: RefSeq, a predicted model, not a curated record
GAAAGGCAUACUUUGAUGGGAUGGCUGGUAUUCCUCAUGGAUUUUGCCCCACCCCUCAAGUAGGAGCUAACAUCUGAGCCCAGUGGAAGCAGCAGUAGUAAGGGCAACAUGAUGUACAGGAGAUCAGACAAGCAUAUCCUAAGUACUGUGGGGAACAAGCCAGGCCAGAAAUGCUGUCAGCCUUUGAAUCAGCAGGACUACAAGUCCCAUACUACUCAAAUCUCAAGCCUAUCAAUUACUCCAGGACUGUGACUUUUCAACCUUUAAAGUAUAUUUCAGCAUACAAAAUGACCGUUGUCUCGGAUUUUUAUCACAUACACUGCCACUGAAGAAGGGGACACCCCGAAACGCAUUUGGCUUGUUAAGCAUCACCUGACCUCAUACCCCCCCACAAAUAGACUUUAUAUGGACUAUUUCCUCUAAUAUCCAUUCUCAACAGCUGCAAUACCCUAAUUUCUGGAGCACCCCAACAGCGCGCAUUUUCCUCAAUUCCAUCCACGAGGACGCCGCACUUUAAACACUUACCCCACCACCCCGUCACCUUUGGCCAGCUGCCUACCUGUGCCACUCCGUAGGACCAUCACCUGAGGACAUCAGGACACGACUACUGUCAUCUAUGCAGUUCUCCAACUAUGCCGGCCGCUGGUCCAUGCCAGACUGCCGGAACAUCGCGCGACCCUUGGAACGGAGUCAUUCACGGGUGUUUAUCCUCCAAUCUGGAAAGGCUGCCUGGUUACAAUGAUGUAAAAAGAGUAGAGAUGGCUAGAUGUUAAAAUGCAUCCAUGUACUACAUCAGCAGUACCAAUGAAUCUUGAAGACUUUACAGGAAAUAAUGCAGAACAACUAGU